RNAcentral lists this small RNA (293 nucleotides) under Drosophila willistoni. RNAcentral describes it as "GK28153". The record is from RNAcentral. Lineage: Eukaryota; Metazoa; Arthropoda; Insecta; Diptera; Drosophilidae.
UUUAAUUUAAUCUGCUUUGGCGUGCAUAUUUUGGAAAACCAUAGAGCCGAAUUGUAGGAGCCGUUAUUAAACACUAAUACUGACCAAUGUACCAGGUACGCCUGUAGUGAUCUGUCUGUCUCUUGUUUUACCUACACACGUGAACACUUACCCAGUCUUGCAGGACGAAUAAUAAUGGACGUUGAUUAUAAUAUUUCUAAAUACUGAACCAUCGACGAUCAUCACAUCCUGAACACGAAUCUACACAGGACUCAUCCACAAACACGUUAAAGAUACACAGAAAGCGAGUAGUA